RNAcentral lists this ribosomal RNA (566 nucleotides) under uncultured bacterium. Its description in RNAcentral is "bacterial SSU rRNA". It matches the Rfam family "Bacterial small subunit ribosomal RNA", at positions 341 to 914 of the family's 1533-position model. The record is from RNAcentral.
ACGGGAGGCAGCAGUGGGGAAUCUUGCGCAAUGGGCGAAAGCCUGACGCAGCAACGCCGCGUGGGGGAUGACGGCCUUCGGGUUGUAAACCUCUUUCGACAGGGACGAAGCUUUCGGGUGACGGUACCUGUAGAAGAAGCACCGGCUAACUACGUGCCAGCAGCCGCGGUAAUACGUAGGGUGCAAGCGUUGUCCGGAUUUAUUGGGCGUAAAGAGCUCGUAGGCGGUUUGUCGCGUCGGCCGUGAAAACCUGCAGCUUAACUGUGGGCGUGCGGUCGAUACGGGCAGACUUGAGUUCAGCAGGGGAGACUGGAAUUCCUGGUGUAGCGGUGAAAUGCGCAGAUAUCAGGAGGAACACCGGUGGCGAAGGCGGGUCUCUGGGCCGAUACUGACGCUGAGGAGCGAAAGCAUGGGGAGCGAACAGGAUUAGAUACCCUGGUAGUCCAUGCCGUAAACGUUGGGCGCUAGGUGUGGGGAUGGGUUCCACCGUUUCCGUGCCGUAGCUAACGCAUUAAGCGCCCCGCCUGGGGAGUACGGCCGCAAGGCUAAAACUCAAAGGAAUUGAC